GCAACUCUGCAGCCUGGCACAGAAUAGUUAAUAUUUUAGGCAAACAUCCAUUUCUACUGUACUCUCUACAAGCUGAUACAGUACAAAGUUCUACUAAGCAAUUAUAUUUUUGCCUAACAUGAAAUAAGAUAAGAGUCCCACACAACAACUUCAACCCACACUUCACAUAAGUCAGUUGUCUGGUCUAAUAUAGAUAUUACUUUGGAUUGUACAAUCUUUUAGCCAACCCCAUUAUCCACAACCUCUAGGCUUAAUGUCAUUAAAAGUUCUUGCUCAAGUCAUAUAACACCUAUGCCCAAGACCUUAAUCAGAAAAGAAUUUUCAGCCAGAAACAAUUCACUGUACCAGACA
This 351-nucleotide unclassified non-coding RNA is filed under the name Hevea brasiliensis (rubber tree). The record is from RNAcentral. Lineage: Eukaryota; Viridiplantae; Streptophyta; Magnoliopsida; Malpighiales; Euphorbiaceae.